GGCGCGGGGCGGGCAGGAGCAUCGUGUUAGGUUGCGCAGGAGGAGGGGGAACUGGUGCUGGAGAGACAGGGAGAGGGGCGAACCGGCCCCCCACAGCCGCUGCAGUUAACAGAAAUCUUCCGCCUCUGCUGUAUGGACCUUACUGGCACCAACCUCGGCAGUAUGAGCAGGAGUUCCACCAUCUUCCUCUGAAGACGUAGCCAUCUUGCUCCAUGAAGGUCAGGACAAUCUGACAUGCACUUGUUUCUUGCCUCUAUACUUGAAGAGUAGUCCUCUUACAUUGUGUACAUU
Molecule: small RNA, 291 nt
Filed under: Pongo abelii (Sumatran orangutan)
Lineage: Eukaryota; Metazoa; Chordata; Mammalia; Primates; Hominidae
Description: processed transcript
Source: RNAcentral